RNAcentral lists this ribosomal RNA (404 nucleotides) under Actinomycetes bacterium. Its description in RNAcentral is "Actinobacteria bacterium partial 16S ribosomal RNA". It matches the Rfam family "Bacterial small subunit ribosomal RNA", at positions 355 to 776 of the family's 1533-position model. Lineage: Bacteria; Bacillati; Actinomycetota; Actinomycetes. The record is from RNAcentral.
UGGGGAAUAUUGGACAAUGGGCGCAAGCCUGAUCCAGCCAUGCCGCGUGAGUGAUGAAGGCCCUAGGGUUGUAAAGCUCUUUCACCGGUGAAGAUAAUGACGGUAACCGGAGAAGAAGCCCCGGCUAACUUCGUGCCAGCAGCCGCGGUAAUACGAAGGGGGCUAGCGUUGUUCGGAUUUACUGGGCGUAAAGCGCACGUAGGCGGACUAUUAAGUCAGGGGUGAAAUCCCGGGGCUCAACCCCGGAACUGCCUUUGAUACUGGUAGUCUUGAGUUCGAGAGAGGUGAGUGGAAUUCCGAGUGUAGAGGUGAAAUUCGUAGAUAUUCGGGGGAAAACCAGUGGCGAAGGCGGCUCACUGGCUCGAUACUGACGCUGAGGUGCGAAAGCGUGGGGAGCAAACAGG